Molecule: ribosomal RNA, 484 nt
Filed under: uncultured Tenacibaculum sp.
Lineage: Bacteria; Pseudomonadati; Bacteroidota; Flavobacteriia; Flavobacteriales; Flavobacteriaceae
Description: bacterial SSU rRNA
Rfam family: Bacterial small subunit ribosomal RNA
Source: RNAcentral
GAUGAACGCUAGCGGCAGGCUUAACACAUGCAAGUCGAGGGGCAGCAUGACUAACUUGUUAGUUGAUGGCGACCGGCGCACGGGUGCGUAACGCGUAUAGAAUCUGCCUUGUACAGGAGGAUAGCCUUUAGAAAUGAAGAUUAAUACUCCAUAGUGCUAUUUUUUUGCAUGAUUAAAUAGUUAAAGAUUUAUCGGUACAAGAUGACUAUGCGUCCUAUUAGCUAGAUGGUAAGGUAACGGCUUACCAUGGCUACGAUAGGUAGGGGGUCUGAGAGGAUUAUCCCCCACACUGGUACUGAGACACGGACCAGACUCCUACGGGAGGCAGCAGUGAGGAAUAUUGGUCAAUGGAGGCAACUCUGAACCAGCCAUGCCGCGUGUAGGAAGACUGCCCUAUGGGUUGUAAACUACUUUUAUACAGGAAGAAACACCUCUACGUGUAGAGGCUUGACGGUACUGUAAGAAUAAGCACCGGCUAACUCCG